GAGGAAUAUUGGACAAUGGAGGCAACUCUGAUCCAGCCAUGCCGCGUGCAGGAAGACUGCCCUAUGGGUUGUAAACUGCUUUUAUACAGGAAGAAACCGCGUUACGUGUAGUGUCUUGACGGUACUGUAAGAAUAAGGAUCGGCUAACUCCGUGCCAGCAGCCGCGGUAAUACGGAGGAUCCAAGCGUUAUCCGGAAUCAUUGGGUUUAAAGGGUCCGUAGGYGGACURRUCAGUCAGAGGUGAAAUCCUGCAGCUUAACUGUAGAACUGCCUUUGAUACUGCUAGUCUUGAAUSAUUGUGAAGUGGUUAGAAUAUGUAGUGUAGCGGUGAAAUGCAUAGAUAUUACAUAGAAUACCRAUUGCGAAGGCAGAUCACUAACAAUAUANUGACACUGAUGGACGAAAGC
This 407-nucleotide ribosomal RNA is filed under the name uncultured bacterium. RNAcentral describes it as "bacterial SSU rRNA". It matches the Rfam family "Bacterial small subunit ribosomal RNA", at positions 356 to 760 of the family's 1533-position model. The record is from RNAcentral.